RNAcentral lists this ribosomal RNA (586 nucleotides) under Debaryomyces hansenii. RNAcentral describes it as "partial large subunit ribosomal RNA". It matches the Rfam family "Eukaryotic large subunit ribosomal RNA", at positions 53 to 654 of the family's 3401-position model. Lineage: Eukaryota; Fungi; Ascomycota; Pichiomycetes; Serinales; Debaryomycetaceae. The record is from RNAcentral.
GAGGAAAAGAAACCAACAGGGAUUGCCUUAGUAACGGCGAGUGAAGCGGCAAAAGCUCAAAUUUGAAAUCUGGCACCUUCGGUGUCCGAGUUGUAAUUUGAAGAAGGUAACUUUGGAGUUGGCUCUUGUCUAUGUUCCUUGGAACAGGACGUCACAGAGGGUGAGAAUCCCGUGCGAUGAGAUGCCCAAUUCUAUGUAAAGUGCUUUCGAAGAGUCGAGUUGUUUGGGAAUGCAGCUCUAAGUGGGUGGUAAAUUCCAUCUAAAGCUAAAUAUUGGCGAGAGACCGAUAGCGAACAAGUACAGUGAUGGAAAGAUGAAAAGAACUUUGAAAAGAGAGUGAAAAAGUACGUGAAAUUGUUGAAAGGGAAGGGCUUGAGAUCAGACUUGGUAUUUUGCGAUCCUUUCCUUCUUGGUUGGGUUCCUCGCAGCUUACUGGGCCAGCAUCGGUUUGGAUGGUAGGAUAAUGACUAAGGAAUGUGGCUCUACUUCGGUGGAGUGUUAUAGCCUUGGUUGAUACUGCCUGUCUAGACCGAGGACUGCGUCUUUUGACUAGGAUGUUGGCAUAAUGAUCUUAAGCCACCCGUCU